GUGCCAGCAGCCGCGGUAAUACCGGCAGCUCAAGUGAUGUCCCAUAUUAUUGGGCCUAAAGCGUCCGUAGCUGGCCGACCAAGUCUCCCGGGAAAUCCACCCGCCCAACGGGUGGGCGUCCGGUAGGAACUGGCCGGCUUGGAACCGGAAGGCUCAGAGAGUACGUCCGGGGUAGGAGUGAAAUCCCGUAAUCCCGCACGGACCACCGAUGGCGAAAGCACUUCGAGAAAACGGAUCCGACAGUGAGGGACGAAAGCUCGGGUCUCAAACCGGAUUAGUUACCCCAGUAGUCC
This 293-nucleotide ribosomal RNA is filed under the name uncultured bacterium. RNAcentral describes it as "partial 16S ribosomal RNA". It matches the Rfam family "Archaeal small subunit ribosomal RNA", at positions 455 to 747 of the family's 1478-position model. The record is from RNAcentral.